This 275-nucleotide long non-coding RNA is filed under the name Mytilus galloprovincialis (Mediterranean mussel). The record is from RNAcentral. Lineage: Eukaryota; Metazoa; Mollusca; Bivalvia; Mytilida; Mytilidae.
GUGUAUGUAUAUGAAGAAUUCAAAGAUUUUCAAGUAUCUGUCUGUUAUAUGUUUAAGAGAAAAAAAUCAUGUUGUCUAGAGGAAUAUGCGUGCAUGGUAUUUGGUUGUUUGAAUUCGCAGUCCGUAGGGAGCGGAAUCGAUGUUGUUCGGCUUUGGGGAGGGAGUAAUUGUUUUUUUUUCUCCUCGUUUUUUUUUUAUUUUUGCAUGUAUGAAAGUGUCUCAAAAUGUCAUACAUUAGAACCCAAAUAAGAUGUAGGGUCACAGCUUCAAAUGUU